Non-coding RNA from Stegodyphus mimosarum, 73 nucleotides. The record is from Rfam. Lineage: Eukaryota; Metazoa; Arthropoda; Arachnida; Araneae; Eresidae.
GCCUUCGUGGUGUAGUGGUCAGUACAUUCGACGCGUAACCGAGAGGUCCGUGGUUCGAUUCCCGGCGAAGACG